Molecule: ribosomal RNA, 766 nt
Filed under: Salmonella enterica subsp. enterica serovar Odozi
Lineage: Bacteria; Pseudomonadati; Pseudomonadota; Gammaproteobacteria; Enterobacterales; Enterobacteriaceae
Description: partial 23S ribosomal RNA
Rfam family: Bacterial large subunit ribosomal RNA
Source: RNAcentral
GUCUGCAUGGAGCCGACCUUGAAAUACCACCCUUUAAUGUUUGAUGUUCUAACGUGGACCCGUUACCCGGGUUGCGGACAGUGUCUGGUGGGUAGUUUGACUGGGGCGGUCUCCUCCUAAAGAGUAACGGAGGAGCACGAAGGUUGGCUAAUCCUGGUCGGACAUCAGGAGGUUAGUGCAAUGGCAUAAGCCAGCUUGACUGCGAGCGUGACGGCGCGAGCAGGUGCGAAAGCAGGUCAUAGUGAUCCGGUGGUUCUGAAUGGAAGGGCCAUCGCUCAACGGAUAAAAGGUACUCCGGGGAUAACAGGCUGAUACCGCCCAAGAGUUCAUAUCGACGGCGGUGUUUGGCACCUCGAUGUCGGCUCAUCACAUCCUGGGGCUGAAGUAGGUCCCAAGGGUAUGGCUGUUCGCCAUUUAAAGUGGUACGCGAGCUGGGUUUAGAACGUCGUGAGACAGUUCGGUCCCUAUCUGCCGUGGGCGCUGGAGAACUGAGGGGGGCUGCUCCUAGUACGAGAGGACCGGAGUGGACGCAUCACUGGUGUUCGGGUUGUCAUGCCAAUGGCACUGCCCGGUAGCUAAAUGCGGAAGAGAUAAGUGCUGAAAGCAUCUAAGCACGAAACUUGCCCCGAGAUGAGUUCUCCCUGAGACUUUAGGUCUCCUGAAGGAACGUUGAAGACGACGACGUUGAUAGGCCGGGUGUGUAAGCGCAGCGAUGCGUUGAGCUAACCGGUACUAAUGAACCGUGAGGCUUAACCUUACAACGCCG